RNAcentral lists this transfer RNA (63 nucleotides) under Austrodecus sp. JZ-2022. RNAcentral's name for it is "tRNA-Thr". Lineage: Eukaryota; Metazoa; Arthropoda; Pycnogonida; Pantopoda; Austrodecidae. The record is from RNAcentral.
GUUUUAAUAGUUAAUAAUAAUAAUAAUUUUGUAAAUUAUAGUUGAAUAUCCAUUCUUAAAACU